Molecule: long non-coding RNA, 1220 nt
Filed under: Homo sapiens (human)
Lineage: Eukaryota; Metazoa; Chordata; Mammalia; Primates; Hominidae
Description: non-protein coding lnc-ZMYND19-1:4
Source: RNAcentral
GGAUGGAGUUAAGCACUGGCCAGGCUGUUUAGGAAAUGAAAUUUAUAUAGAUCUGCAUAAAGAGCAACCACGUUCUCAUGGCUGCUCGCGGCUUCUGAAGUGGAAACCAGAGGAGUUUCCCCAUUGUCUCUGUCUCGGGAGGCGAGUGUUCCAGUGGCCCUGGAGGCCUGGGGUGGGAAACUGUGUGUGCCACUGUGGUCUGGAGCCUGCACAGGCAUCUCGACAGCAUCUAGGAGCGCAAGGAUGGCAAGGGGGUGUGAAAGGGAGGGAGACCAUGCCCCAAGAUCAAGCCUGUGGGAAAGUUGUCCUGCAAGUGUGAGGAGUGUGAGCUCCAGUGUCCCCAGGUCUUCUCGGGGCCCCUAGCAGGGGUUUCAGUGUUAGGUGGAGGUGUGACUCAGUGACUGAUGUACUUCAUUCGCAUAGGUUGUAAAUGAGGGAACGAUGACUUCCCUGCAGGAGAGGAAAAGUCUUUUGGGGGUUCUGGGGCGGCUACUUCCCUUUGAUGGAGUUUCUUCUUCUCCAGUAGAAGAGCCACGUGCUGGAGCCAUUGUCCAGCCUUGCCCUGGAGGAGCAGUGUCUGGCUUUGUCCCUAGAUUGGUCCACUGGGAAAACUGGAAGGUAAGGGCCAGGCUUGGUCAGGGGUCCUGAGUCUUUCUCUGAGAACCACUUCCACUUUUCAGGCUAGAGGGCUCCAGCCACCUUCAGCGAGCUGCGACUGUGCUCCUCAGCCCUGACAUCAUCACUGCCAGUCCUAUUAUGAAAAAAAGGUCCCCCAUUUUAGAUACAUAGCGAUAGUGUUUUUACCUAGAGAAGUCGACACUGGUGUCUUUGACAAGCUUAGCAGUGGUUGUGAUCUUAGCCGCCAGUCUCUUAAGGGGCAUAUCCGCAUCCCAGGGCUGUGGAGACCGUCUCUCAGGACUUGUUUGGGAACCAGAAGAGGCUGACGAAUAACAUUCUGCCGGGCUUCUUCAUGGGUUCCCUGUGUCUAGGGCCGGGGACCAGCCCUUGAAGAUCAUCAGCAGUGACUCCACAGGGCAGCUCCACCUCCUGAUGGUGAAUGAGACGAGGCCCAGGCUGCAGAAAGUGGCCUCAUGGCAGGCACAUCAAUUCGAGGCCUGGAUUGCUGCUUUCAAUUACUGGCAUCCAGAAAUUGUGUAUUCAGGGGGCGACGAUGGCCUUCUGAGGGGCUGGGACACCAGGGUACCCGGCAAAUUUCUCUU